UACGUAGGGUGCAAGCGUUAAUCGGAAUUGCUGGGCGUAAAGCGUGCGCAGGCGGUUUUGUAAGUCUGAUGUGAAAUCCCCGGGCUCAACCUGGGAAUUGCAUUUGUGACUGGAAGGCUAGAGUGUGUCAGAGGGGGGUAGAAUUCCACGUGUAGCAGUGAAAUGCGUAGAGAUGUGGAGGAACACCGAUGGCGAAGGCAGCCCCCUGGGUCAAGAUUGACGCUCAUGCACGAAAGCGUGGGGAGCAAACAGG
This 253-nucleotide ribosomal RNA is filed under the name uncultured bacterium. Its description in RNAcentral is "partial 16S ribosomal RNA". It matches the Rfam family "Bacterial small subunit ribosomal RNA", at positions 524 to 776 of the family's 1533-position model. The record is from RNAcentral.